GGUUAGUAGGUUGGUCAUGCCUCUGGUAUGUACUGGUCUCACUGAUUCCUCCCUCUUGACGAACUGUAAUGUCAUUAAUUUGGUGUUGCAGGAAAUCAGGACUGUUACUUUGAAAAAAUUAAAGUGUUUAAAGCAGGCUAAGGCUUGAAUACAUUAGCAUGGAAUAAUGAAAUAGGACGUUUGAUCCUAUUUUGUUGGUUUCUAGGAUUGACGUA
This 215-nucleotide ribosomal RNA is filed under the name uncultured Glomus. RNAcentral describes it as "partial 18S rRNA". The stretch from base 39 to 215 matches the Rfam family "Eukaryotic small subunit ribosomal RNA", at positions 686 to 864 of the family's 1831-position model. Lineage: Eukaryota; Fungi; Glomeromycota; Glomeromycetes; Glomerales; Glomeraceae. The record is from RNAcentral.